GCCUGUGCUGUGACUUUCUUUUCUUUAG
RNAcentral lists this non-coding RNA (28 nucleotides) under Cricetulus griseus (Chinese hamster). Lineage: Eukaryota; Metazoa; Chordata; Mammalia; Rodentia; Cricetidae. The record is from RNAcentral.